Molecule: ribosomal RNA, 301 nt
Filed under: uncultured bacterium
Lineage: Bacteria
Description: bacterial SSU rRNA
Rfam family: Bacterial small subunit ribosomal RNA
Source: RNAcentral
GUGCCAGCAGCCGCGGUAAUACGAAGGGUGCAAGCGUUAAUCGGAAUUACUGGGCGUAAAGCGCGCGUAGGUGGUUCGUUAAGUUGGAUGUGAAAGCCCCGGGCUCAACCUGGGAAUGGCAUUUGAUACUGGCGAGCUAGAGUACGGUAGAGGGUGGUGGAAUUCCCGGUGUAGCGGUGAAAUGCGUAGAGAUCGGGAGGAACAUCUGUGGCGAAGGCGGCCACCUGGACCAGUACUGACGCUGAGGCACGAAAGCGUGGGGAGCAAACAGGAUUAGAUACCCUGGUAGUCCACGCCCUAA